GCCACCAUGGGUGUCAAUCCCUGCACAGCCUACAGGAUGCUGAUGGACUUCGAGCAACUGCAGCCAGGGGAUUCUGUCAUCCAGAAUGCAUCCAACAGCGGAGUGGGGCAAGCGGUCAUCCAGAUCGCCGCAGCCCUGGGCCUAAGAACCAUCAAUGUGGUCCGAGACAGACCUGAUAUCCAGAAGCUGAGUGACAGACUGAAGAGCCUGGGGGCUGAGCGUGUCAUCACCGAAGAGGAGCUAAGAAGGCCCGAAAUGAAAAACUUCUUUAAGAUUAGGGAACUAAGACUCAGAAAAGAGGAAAUGCUUAACCAAAAUCAUAUAGUUUAUAAGGGGGAGAGUCAGAGCUGGCCUCAGUCUCUCUGAACUCAAAGCCUUUUAACCUUCCAGAACCUCCACCCCACAACAUGCCUAGAGAUGCCCCAGCCACGGCUUGCUCUCAACUGUGUUGGUGGGAAAAGCUCCACAGAGCUGCUGCGGCAGUUAGCGCGUGGAGGAACCAUGGUAACCUAUGGGGGGAUGGCCAAGCAGCCCGUCAUAGCCUCUGUGAGCCUGCUCAUUUUUAAGGAUCUCAAACUUCGGGGCUUUUGGUUGUCCCAGUGGAAGAAGGACCACAGUC
Molecule: small RNA, 619 nt
Filed under: Pongo abelii (Sumatran orangutan)
Lineage: Eukaryota; Metazoa; Chordata; Mammalia; Primates; Hominidae
Description: processed transcript
Source: RNAcentral